RNAcentral lists this ribosomal RNA (497 nucleotides) under uncultured bacterium. RNAcentral's name for it is "partial 16S ribosomal RNA". It matches the Rfam family "Bacterial small subunit ribosomal RNA", at positions 28 to 507 of the family's 1533-position model. The record is from RNAcentral.
GAUGAACGCUGGCGGCGUGCCUAAUACAUGCAAGUAGAACGCUGAAGGAAGGAGCUUGCUCUUUCCGGAUGAGUUGCGAACGGGUGAGUAACGCGUAGGUAACCUGCCUGGUAGCGGGGGAUAACUAUUGGAAACGAUAGCUAAUACCGCAUAACAGUAGAUGUUGCAUGAUAUCUACUUAAAAGGUGCAAUUGCACCACUACCAUAUGGACCUGCGUUGUAUUAGCUAGUUGGUGAGGUAACGGCUCACCAAGGCGACGGUACAUAGCCGAACUGAGAGGGGGAUCGGCCCAAAUGGGAAUGAGAAAAGGGCCAGAAGUCUACGGGAGGGAGCAGGAGGGAAACUUCGGAAAUGGACGGAAGUCUGAACGAGGAACGCCGCGUGAGUGAAGAAGGUUUUCGGAACGUAAAGCUCUGUUGUAAGAGAAGAAAGAGUGUGAGAGUGGAAAGUUCACACUGUGACGGUAUCUUACCAGAAAGGGACGGCUAACUACGUG